Vicia villosa (hairy vetch) is the source of this 2336-nucleotide long non-coding RNA. RefSeq lists it as uncharacterized. NCBI's taxonomy places the organism in Eukaryota, Viridiplantae, Streptophyta, Magnoliopsida, Fabales, Fabaceae. The record is from RefSeq and is a predicted model, not a curated record. The transcript is spliced from 5 exons.
UUAAUACCCGAUGGGAAACGUCUUUUUGAAAGGGCUUUUCCGUCAGCCCAAGUAAAACCCGAUGGGAAAAGUAUCCCACUUUUUCCACUAUUUCCAACUCGUUUUUCCACAGCGUCGUCCUCCUUCCCCGUCCUCAACCGUACCUCCGCUCCGACCUCCCUCCGCCAUCGUCUACCGAACCAACCACCGCCUGCCUGUUGCCCCCUCGACUGAACCACCGUCAACGUCGCUCGACCGGACCGUGCGCGACCAAGACCACCGUCAACACGUUCAGCCGGACGGCGCGCGAACCAAGACCGCCGUCAACGCGUCUUCAACAUUUUCCAGCCAGCCACCAUUCCCAUUCCAGGUAUCGUAUUCAACUCAAUAUGCAGCACCUUAUUCACGUCACAACCACGCCUACAACCAUCAUAAUAAAUCAACACCGAGCAGCUUCAACGCUACAAACGUCAACAAACCCAACAUCGAACACCGAACGUAGUGACACCGCGAUUCAACUGCUCGCAACAUACAUCAACGAAACUGUUUUUUCUGAAUCAGAUAUGAGAUGAAGUAGAAAAAGAGAGAGGACCGAAUUUGUGCGUACCUGGUAUUUUUAGCCUCGCCAGAAAACCGUCGGACGUAGCUCCGACGAGGUCAGUACUUUUUGUUCAACAUUUGGUUUGAUAUCAUUGUGUUCCUUACAAAUUACUGAGUAAUAACCCCUUAUUAAUUGUAUGAAACCUUUACUGUACACCAUUUAAUUUCAAAUCUGAAGUUUAGGGUUUAUAAGUUUAAAUGUAAAUUGAUUGAUGUUGAUGUGUUGUUUGAAUUUUGUUGAUAUAAUCAUGGUAAGGACCUGAGAACGAUUCAGAUUUUGUUUUGUUCUCGUAGAGGCUGAGAGAAUUGAAUCGAGUGAAAGAGAGGAAGCAGGGAAACAAAUUCUCUUUCGUUGAAAUUUAUUGUCAACUGCAGUCAUUCAUCUUUAUUUAGGGCUUCAAAUGGUGUUUCUAGUAGCAUUGAGAAUUGUGGAGGAUAUUAUGGUUUUACUUGCGACUUUGGUACAAUGUCUAGCUCUCAUAAAAGCUUAAGUUUUGAGUUAAAGUCAGGAAUGGUUUUAUAAAUUUCUAUAAACAUCCUUUUGUUUGAGCUCUCUCUUCCUUUAAAAAUUAUGCUUCUUAUCAUUGUGUCUUUCCUUUCAUAUUUUUUCUUCUAUUAUUUGUUUGAAAGAAGAUUUUUGCUAAUGACAUGUUACCUAUUAGGUGAAGUAUCUGUGGCUCCUUUUUGAUUUGGUUGUGGGUCCUGAUAAACUUAUGGAAAAUGGGCCUUACAAGUGAGUAGGCUUAUAUAUUUACAAUUUAGUGGCUGGUCUUUUUAUGCUAUAAAAUUAGUUGCUUCUUUUUCUGUUUGUUGUGAAACAGGUAUGUAUUCAGCACUGAAGGUCAUUUAUUGCCUACUACUCCUCAAAUCUUUCUUGUGAGGGAACAUUGUUUAUACUAUGGGGCUUAUUGUAGAAGUGGUGAUUUGAGACAAACUUAAUUUGUGUUCGAGACAGAGAGAGAAAAGCAUGAAUCAGAUGAUAGUAGAUUUUAUGGGAGCUGGACUAAAUCUUCAUACUCCUCAGACUACACUACUUCUGAAGCAAGUGCUUCUUCUAGUUUGAUCAAGGUGGAAUGAUAUUUUGCUCAUAGGGCUCUGUCUCAAUCAAUUGUUUGUUUCUGUAGCAGCUGGUAUUGUGAGUUGUUUUCUUUCUUAUUCAUCGUAGAUUUAUAAAAGAAUAAAAGAAAUGGAUAUGCUGGUUUGGAUGCUAGUUUAAUUGACGAUGAUGCUUUCAAAUUGGAAACUACAUAAGAUACAUAUGAUAUAUGCAUAGUGAUAAAGUUGUGAGGCUUACUAAACUUGCGAAACUUUCGUGUUUAUAUCACUGAAGAAGUCAACGAAGGGGGAAAAUAAAUUUUUGUUUCGAGCUAGUCUUUUAACUUUGGUGUUGUCUGCUGAUGUUAAUUAGUGUUAUUGUUUAUUCUCAGCAAAUGUAAUUUUGGUGUUGUCUUCAGAAGCUACAACUCGUCUUCUCGUGGAUUCAUGUUGGUAUUUCAAGUGCGCUAAAGGACCUAAAUGUUUGGAUAUUUGUUUUGUUAUUUUGUAAUAAUCCACCGUGUGUAAACUUUCUUAUAAUUUUGUAUACUUGUGUAUCUUAGUAAAAUUUGAAGAAUAUAUAUAUAUAUAUAUCUUAGCUAUUUGGUGCAAUGAAAUUAUACCUGGUUAGAAAAAUAUGAAAAUAGUGACCUAAAUGUGAUCGGUUAAAAUAGGAAAAAUAGUUAUUAUACGCUUUAAAGAAGGAAACAUAUUACAUCGGG